This is an RNA transcript of Nycticebus coucang (slow loris), 435 nucleotides long. It is a transcript of the gene named thymosin beta-10-like, with no coding region annotated. The transcript has a single exon. NCBI's taxonomy places the organism in Eukaryota, Metazoa, Chordata, Mammalia, Primates, Lorisidae. The record is from RefSeq and is a predicted model, not a curated record.
ACCAGGACCCCGGGCUCGGAGCAGGACGCCAAGGAUCGUUUUAAGAAAAUGGCAGACAAACCGGACAGGUCGAAUCGCCAGAUUCGAUAAGGCCAAGCUGAAUAAAACCGAGACGCAGGAGAAGAACACCCUGCCAACCAAAGAGACCAUCGAGCAGGAGAAGUGGAGUGAAAUUUCCUAAGACUUUAGCGGAUCCCCUAUCCCCGUCCUCUCGAGACCCCAGUCGUGAUGUGGAGGAAGAGACACCUGCCAGAUGGACAUGAGCCACAAGCUGCACUGUGAACCCGGGCACUCAGCGCCAGGGUCGCCGGCCUGCGGGCCAUGGAGGGGACCCCCAAUUGGACUGCCAAAUUCUCCAGUUUGCCCUGGGAUAUUAUAGAAAAUUGUUUGUAUGAUUAAUGAAAAUAAAACCCACUUCGUGGCAAAAAAAAAAAA